Molecule: ribosomal RNA, 381 nt
Filed under: uncultured bacterium
Lineage: Bacteria
Description: bacterial SSU rRNA
Rfam family: Bacterial small subunit ribosomal RNA
Source: RNAcentral
UACGUAGGGUGCGAGCGUUAAUCGGAAUUACUGGGCGUAAAGCGUGCGCAGGUGGUUUGUUAAGUCAGAUGUGAAAGCCCUGGGCUUAACCUAGGAAUUGCGUUUGAAACUGGCGAGCUAGAGUCUGUCAGAGGGGGGUAGAAUUCCACGUGUAGCAGUGAAAUGCGUAGAGAUGUGGAGGAAUACCAAUGGCGAAGGCAGCCCCCUGGGGUAAGACUGACGCUCAUGCACGAAAGCGUGGGGAGCAAACAGGAUUAGAUACCCUGGUAGUCCACGCCCUAAACGAUGUCAACUGGUUAGUUGGGCAACUUGAUUGUUACAGUAACGAAGCUAACGCGAGAAGUUGACCGCCUGGGGAGUACGGUCGCAAGAUUAAAACCU